This 191-nucleotide unclassified non-coding RNA is filed under the name uncultured Meyerozyma. Its description in RNAcentral is "sequence contains ITS2". The record is from RNAcentral. Lineage: Eukaryota; Fungi; Ascomycota; Pichiomycetes; Serinales; Debaryomycetaceae.
CUCUCUCAAACCCCCGGGUUUGGUAUUGAGUGAUACUCUUAGUCGAACUAGGCGUUUGCUUGAAAAGUAUUGGCAUGGGUAGUACUGGAUAGUGCUGUCGACCUCUCAAUGUAUUAGGUUUAUCCAACUCGUUGAAUGGUGUGGCGGGAUAUUUCUGGUAUUGUUGGCCCGGCCUUACAACAACCAAACAA